Molecule: small RNA, 1854 nt
Filed under: Pan troglodytes (chimpanzee)
Lineage: Eukaryota; Metazoa; Chordata; Mammalia; Primates; Hominidae
Description: retained intron
Source: RNAcentral
UUUUUGCUCCUGCCCUUGGCUGGGCCUGAAGAUUUCUCCGAGGAAGAGAUGGAACGUGAGUGGCUAGUGUGGAGCCUCAGAGUUGGCCGGAGAGGAGGGAGGCCAGUGGAGGGAGAGAGAGGUGUCCAGGCCCCAGGCUCCUGAAACUUUGCAGCAGUGAGUUGCUGAGCACAGGCUGCCCAGCCCAGGGACACAGUGGCUCCCACACACUCACCCCUAGGGCUGCCUGUCGACCUGCAGUACCUGCCACCAGACAAGCAGCGAGAACCUGAUGCAGACAUCCGCAAGAUGCUUGUUGAAGCCAUCAUGCUGCUGACAGCCACAGCACCAGGUCGGCAGCAGGUGCGGGACCAGGGAGCCUACCUGAUCCUUCGAGAGCUGCACAGCUGGGAGCCGGAGCCCGACGUGCGGACGGCUUGUGAGAAGCUCAUCCAGGUUGGUGCAGGGUUGGAGAGGCUGGGGAAGGGGUGUCUGUAGCUGGCCAGCUGCUCACCUGCCUCCCGUCUGGCAGGUGCUUAUUGGGGACGAGCCCGAACGUGGCAUGGAAAACCUGUUGGAGGUGCAGGUGCCUGAGGAUGUGGAGCAGCAGCUGCAGCAGCUGGAUUGCCGGGAGCAGGAGCAGUUGGAGCAGGAGCAGUUGGAGCGGGAGCUGGCCCCAGAGCCAUGGGUGGAGAGGGCCACACCCACCUGAGGCCCCUGCAGCCGGACACCAGCUCCAGGGUCCCCUUUGCCAGGCUUCCUCAGACCAGGCCUUCCUGCAGCUGUCUACAGGCCCCCUGGGUCCCCUUGUUCAGAGACUGUGCUCUUCUGAGAAGCAGAGUUACGCUUAGGCUCCAGUAAGGAUUGGAGGCACGUCCCAGCCCUGUGCAGUGUUGCUACCAGCAAGAAUGAAGGUUGUGCAGAGCAGUACUGUGAGGUAGGCACCGUGACUCGGCUGCCUGUGCAGAAGGUGGAGGUGGCAGGCGGAUGGCCAGGGAGCCAUGAGAAGACUCUUCCUGGGCACGGCAUGGGGACUGGACAGAAAACCACCGCAAGCCCCAAGGAGCCAGCUGAAGCCUCCCAAUCCCCAGGGCACUGCAGAGUCUGGGCAGAGGUGGGCACAUAGGUACAAGUGCUGCUUUGUCAGCCUCACUCCCUGCAGCUCUCAGCUCCCUGUUCCCUGAGACCUGGCCUCAAAGGGCUGACCCAGCCAUACGUAGAUCCUGGGGUUUUUCUAGGACUGUGCCUCCCUGCUUGACCUAUGCUCCAGGACCCUGCCCUCAACCCUUGUCAGCUUCCUAAGUCUUCCUGUUUCCCAGUCUCAGAUUGAGUGGGUGCUCUCAUUGGCCUCUCUAGCUAGGCCAUCUCCCUGGUCAGCUUCCUUGAGCCUGGGCCACUCCUCCCUGGCCUUCUUACCUCUGCCAAGAGCCUCCAGAUGUGCCUGCAGCCUGGUCCCUGCCCAAGCUUCUCCCCCAGCCACCCUCUGCCCCUGUGGUAGAGCCCACUAUAGGCCCAGGCGCCUUACGUGCUUCUCCCCUGGACCUAUGUGCAUCCCUCACCUGAUAGUUAUGUGGCUGCCAAGCCCCACAGGCUGUCAUGGUGGCUCUUGCCACACUCUUCCCUUCCUGAGCUGACCUGACCUCACUGCCACCUCCUGCAUUGGGAUCCUGAGGGCUGGCCCCUGCUCACUGAUGGGCCCUCCCAGGUCCCUCGAGCCCUGGUGAAGGAGCUUAGCUUGUCUUCUUGGCAAUUCACAAUGCCUCACUCCACACCCUAAAACUGGAGCGUCCCCUGUGGUCUCCUGCUGUGGCUUGGGUGCCGGGCGUCUCCCGCCUCCAGGAUCUCCUCUCACCUGCCCCCAUUAAAGCUCUGCCA